This 253-nucleotide ribosomal RNA is filed under the name Phocaeicola dorei DSM 17855. RNAcentral describes it as "partial 16S ribosomal RNA". It matches the Rfam family "Bacterial small subunit ribosomal RNA", at positions 524 to 776 of the family's 1533-position model. The record is from RNAcentral. Lineage: Bacteria; Pseudomonadati; Bacteroidota; Bacteroidia; Bacteroidales; Bacteroidaceae. RNAcentral also lists the same sequence under 1 other name.
UACGGAGGAUCCGAGCGUUAUCCGGAUUUAUUGGGUUUAAAGGGAGCGUAGAUGGAUGUUUAAGUCAGUUGUGAAAGUUUGCGGCUCAACCGUAAAAUUGCAGUUGAUACUGGAUGUCUUGAGUGCAGUUGAGGCAGGCGGAAUUCGUGGUGUAGCGGUGAAAUGCUUAGAUAUCACGAAGAACUCCGAUUGCGAAGGCAGCCUGCUAAGCUGCAACUGACAUUGAGGCUCGAAAGUGUGGGUAUCAAACAGG